RNAcentral lists this ribosomal RNA (220 nucleotides) under Escherichia coli. RNAcentral describes it as "partial 23S ribosomal RNA". It matches the Rfam family "Bacterial large subunit ribosomal RNA", at positions 2729 to 2925 of the family's 2925-position model. Lineage: Bacteria; Pseudomonadati; Pseudomonadota; Gammaproteobacteria; Enterobacterales; Enterobacteriaceae. The record is from RNAcentral.
CCAAUGGCACUGCCCGGUAGCUAAAUGCGGAAGAGAUAAGUGCUGAAAGCAUCUAAGCACGAAACUUGCCCCGAGAUGAGUUCUCCCUGACUCCUUGAGAGUCCUGAAGGAACGUUGAAGACGACGACGUUGAUAGGCCGGGUGUGUAAGCGCAGCGAUGCGUUGAGCUAACCGGUACUAAUGAACCGUGAGGCUUAACCUUACAACGCCGAAGGUGUUU